UUGAACGUCGAUAAAAUUUAU
This 21-nucleotide non-coding RNA is filed under the name Caenorhabditis elegans. Lineage: Eukaryota; Metazoa; Nematoda; Chromadorea; Rhabditida; Rhabditidae. The record is from RNAcentral.